UACGGAGGGGGCUAGCGUUGUUCGGAAUUACUGGGCGUAAAGCGCGCGUAGGCGGAUUGGAAAGUCAGAGGUGAAAUCCCAGGGCUCAACCGUGGAACUGCCUUUGAAACUCCCAGUCUGGAGUUCGAGAGAGGUGAGUGGAAUUCCGAGUGUAGAGGUGAAAUUCGUAGAUAUUCGGAGGAACACCAGUGGCGAAGGCGGCUCCCCGGCCCUGUACUGACGCUGAGGCGCGAAAGCGUGGGGAGCAAACAGG
Molecule: ribosomal RNA, 253 nt
Filed under: uncultured bacterium
Lineage: Bacteria
Description: partial 16S ribosomal RNA
Rfam family: Bacterial small subunit ribosomal RNA
Source: RNAcentral